UGGGGAAUUUUCGCAAUGGGCGCAAGCCUGACGAAGCAACGCCGCGUGGAGGAUGAAGGUCUUCGGAUUGUAAACUCCUGUCGACCGGGACGAAUGCACUCGACCUAAUACGUCGGAAUGUUGACGGUACCGGUGGAGGAAGCCACGGCUAACUCUGUGCCAGCAGCCGCGGUAAUACAGAGGUGGCAAGCGUUGUUCGGAAUUACUGGGCGUAAAGGGCGCGUAGGCGGCCCCAUAAGUCUCGUGUGAAAGCCCUCGGCUUAACUGAGGAUCUGCACGGGAUACUGUGGGGCUCGAGUUCGGGAGAGGAAAGCGGAAUUCCGGGUGUAGCGGUGAAAUGCGUAGAUAUCAAGAGGAACACCUGAGGUGAAGACGGGUUGCUGGGCUGACACUGACGCUGAGGCGCGAAAGCCAGGGGAGCAAACGGGAUUAGAUACCCCCGUAGUCCCUGAGCGGGCUGGCAAGGCGCAU
RNAcentral lists this ribosomal RNA (471 nucleotides) under uncultured bacterium. RNAcentral describes it as "bacterial SSU rRNA". It matches the Rfam family "Bacterial small subunit ribosomal RNA", at positions 355 to 825 of the family's 1533-position model. The record is from RNAcentral.